AAACCCAACCUUCAUUCACGAAAUCAGAAACUCUUGAUCAAAACCGAUUGAACAUAAAACUCAAAAAUCCCAAAAUUUCAUUGAAACCCUAAAAUUUGUUUGAUUCUAGAACUCAAAAAUGAUUGAUUUGCUUCUUGAAAUCAAUUGAAAAUAUAAAACCCCUUUCACAAAAUCUAUUGAUUUGACAUCAAUGACACUCUCGAUGGUGUCUUUGACGUCUUUCCCCCCUCCUAUGUUCAUUUC
RNAcentral lists this long non-coding RNA (243 nucleotides) under Lathyrus oleraceus (garden pea). RNAcentral describes it as "Pisum sativum (pea) long non-coding RNA (PSAT_LNC026525)". The record is from RNAcentral. Lineage: Eukaryota; Viridiplantae; Streptophyta; Magnoliopsida; Fabales; Fabaceae.